RNAcentral lists this long non-coding RNA (7442 nucleotides) under Canis lupus familiaris (dog). RNAcentral's name for it is "lncRNA (ENSCAFG00000059419.1)". The record is from RNAcentral. Lineage: Eukaryota; Metazoa; Chordata; Mammalia; Carnivora; Canidae.
UAUGGGUACUUGGCAGGGGUUGUAUUCAGGCAGAAAGAUCAGCAGGUACACAGGCCUUAAGACAGGAAGAAGCAUGGUGCCCAAGCAGGGUGAAUGGUGUGGAACUCGGAAGUAGAAGAGAGGAGGUAGGAGCCAGAACAAGGUCUUGUAGAUACUGUGUGAUCCUAUUAAUCUCACUCCCUUUAAUUCUCAAAACUGUUCCUCUUUGGAUAACUAUAUGAUCACACUACUCAUAGGCCACAUAAUCAUUUUGACCUUUAUCUUGAGAGCAGUAAAGAAUUUUAAGCAUAAGUAUAACAUAACAGUUUUAGAAAGUCAAGUUGUAAAGAGUAAAUCACUAUACCUGCAGUGUCUCCUAUGACUGAAUAUUUCAUAUCAGCCUCACGGGGAACCACAGCCUGAAAAGAACAGUAUCAUAAAUUUAUCAAAGCAUAAUACAAAUCACUCUCUUCCACAAAAAUGUGUUAAGUUUUAUAGUAUGUAUACUCCCAUAUUAGGAUUCUUCAGAAAGACAAAACUGAUAGGAUGUGUGUGUAUAAAUAAAACUGUACACACACACACACACACACACAUAUAUGAGAGAGAGAGAGAGAGAGAGAGACGUCUUUAAGGACUUGGCUCAUAUGAUUAUAGAAGCUUGGCAUAUCCAAAAUCUGCAGGGAAUGCUGACAGAGUAGAGUCCCAGGGACAAAUUGCUGUUUGAGUCCAAAGGCAGACUGUUGGCAGAAUUUCUUCUUCUUUGGUAGAGGUCAAUCUUUUUUCUAUUGAGACCUUCAACUGAUUAGAUGUUAAGAAGGGUGAUCUGCUUUAGUCAACAUCUACGGCUUAAAUGUUGAUGUCAUCUAAAAAAAAAAAAAAAAAAAAAAAAAAACCACCUUCACAGUAUCAUCUAGAAUGAUGUUCAAGCAAAUACCUGGGUACCAUGGCCUCAUCAAGUUGACACAUAAAAUUAACCAUUGCAAGUACCUAUUGGUACAAAUAAAUAAGUGAGGUUUUGAUCCUUCUGGGUUUUGAAGAACAAAUUGCUUAAUUCAAAUAUUCGUGGGAUCUACUCCCAAAUGUACUUGCUCCCAUAGAUCAUGGCAUCUCCGUUGGGACACCAGCUCAAUCUAGACAGUUUCUGAACAGACCAAACAGUUUCAGAAGAGGCACAAUGGGUUUUGUGGUCCCCAGGAUUCCCACCUCCACAGACCCUGUAGGUGGCACAUUCCAGAGUGGAAUGAUGAGAUGUUCUGUAAAAAGGUGUGGCUGAGAGACCUCCCCUCUUGACAGUGUCCCACAUUGGAAGAAUAAGGCAAGAACUGUUUAGUUUGUCAAGGAAAUUCCCCGAGGGAAACAUUAACUUCGAAAUUUCACAAUUUCAACAAGGAAGUUAUAAAGGCCAAUAUCUAAGGGCUGAAAGUCUUUUCCCACACUCUUAUAUUUUAAAAAAUAAAAGAAAGAUAAAAAGGAUAUCUCAUGUAAGUAGCUUCCCUGUGAUGCUUUGGUGCUUAUGUGAAGAAAUAGGAGUUUUGUAUUACAGUUUAACCACACUGGCUACACUGAUGAUAAGCCAUGAUUUCCCCAUGGCGUUAGCAUUUUAUUUUUUUUAAUUUGCAAAACCCUUCCCUUCUGCUCAUGAGAAAAAAAAAAUAACAUGCUCUGAUGUUGGGUCCAUGUAUCCCCUUAUUCAAGAAAGUAAGCAAAAGGUGAAAGUCAGAGAAUUUGGAGGGAAUAAAGGGCUUUCUAGGGCAGCCCGGGUGGCAACAGUUUAGUGCUGCCUUCAGCCCGGGGUGUGAUCCUGGAGACCUGGAAUCAAGUCCCACGUCUGGCUCCCUGCAUGGAGCCUGCUUCUCCCUCUGCUUGUGUCUCUGCCUCUCUCUCUCUCUGUGUCUUUCAUGAAUAAAUAAAUAAAAUAUUUUUUUUUUAAAAGGACUUUCUAAGGACAUUCGAUCUAAUGCCACACCCAUGUUUUGUUUUCUUUUUUUCCCUUGUCUUUGUAUAGCUUGAAGAGGGGCAACAUAUUUAAAAAGUGAAGAGAACAUUUUCAGGAAUAAGAGUCAUUAUGCAGACUAGCUGAUUUUUAGCUUCAUUGUUGAUGGAACAAGACACAAUGGCUUAGACUUAGCAUCGGUGAUUGAACUUCUAGAGAUCUGUGUGAUUGAGAGAAGUAUAAACUAAAUGGGCCUAAUGAGGGAGACUGUGGACUCUGCUUUCUGAAAAAAUCAGAGUCCUAACAGAUCAGGAUAAUCCACACUAGUAAAAUUAGGACACAUCAGUGUGUUAAACAUCUUAUUUAUGUGUCUCAGGAAGGACUUUUGUCUCCUUUAUCUCAGAAGCCAGCUGCCCUAGACCUGUAACUGUCCAGGGACCCCCAGUUUUUUCCUUCUUUCUAUUAACCUCUCAGUUUAAAAAUAUAUGCAGGACUUUGGAGAAACAAACGUCUGGACUGCAUACUCUUAGAUGUGGCCCCCCCUUCAAUGGCCAGUACCACAAGUGUAAACUAGAUUUCCUUUCUGUAGUGUAUAUUGUAAUAAAACAAAACACAAAGAUUUAACUGUGUUGACACACAUCCUAUAACUAUACAUGCUGAAUUAAAAUGUAUAUAUUUUAUAUUUAUAUAAAAUCUGACUGACUUCUAUAGAGGUAGAACUCAGCAGAAACAAAACAGCUGGCCAGAUUUAAUGGAAUGGAAUGGAAUGGUAAAAGAUUAGGGAAAGGGGGGGUAAACUGAUUAUAUGACCAAACUUUACAUCAUAUGAUUUACCACAAAAAAAUGUUUUUCAAAGGACAAAACAUUUCAUCUACCUCUGUCUCUCCACCAUCACAGUUUUCCUUUCUUCGGUUCCCUAAUCAAGCACCUCCAAUCCAUUUUAUCCAUGACUAUCAGCUCUUGUCCCCACACCCUUCUCACACUGUAGAAGUAAACCCUAGAUUCUUCAGGAGCAUAUAAAAUCAACACAGAAUGGUUAAGUAUGGUACAGAUCACAUCUUAUCAAGAUGAUGUAAUGCUGCUCCUCUGCCUGAAGUUAGGAUAUGAUGUUCUAACUAUAAAUAUUCUGUCAAAGUCCUCAUAUGUAUAUAGUUUAAACUGAGUUUGAUUUAAGUGAUAUUCCCAAAUCUUGGCAUUUAAAAAAAUAUUUAUGCUCAUUUAUAAAAAUUUGGGAAGAUUUAUUUCCUUCUAGGUAUGAGAGAUAGGGAAUUUUUUCCUACCAAAGACGGUCUGAUUUUUGUUUUUGACAUUACGGGUCAGGAAUCAAUGAUAAGUCUAGGUUCCCAGGAAGAGAGACUGUAAUGAUCUAAAUUAUGUCUCUGCUGCCACCCCCAUAUUCAUAUAUUGAAGCUCAAACUGCCACGAUGUAAUUAUAUUUGUAUAUGUGGCUUUAGAGAGGUAACAGAGUUUAUGUACGGUCAUUCUAAUUCUAUAGAAUUUGUGUCCUUAUAAGAAGAACAAGCAACAGAGCUCACUUUUUCUCUUCGUGUCUAUAAAGAAGAGGUCAUGUGAACACACAGCAAGAUGGUGACCACCUACAAGCCAACAGAGAAGAACUCAGAAUGAAACCUAUCAUGCUAACACUUUGAUCUUAGACUUCUAUGAAAAAUAAGUUUCUGUUGUUUAAGUCAUGCAGUCUGUUGCAUUUUGUUAUGGCAGCCCUAGCAGACUAAAACAGAGAUCAAGUUCUAGAUUGGGAGGAGCAGAAAAUGGGCCAGGACUAGAAGCCCAGUGAGAAAUCUGAACAGCUAGGAUGUCUCCAUGGUUUAGAAAACACUGAAGAAGCACCAGUAUAUAUAGAAACGUGGCAUGCAAUUACACUGGGCUCUGAGAACCAAGCCGGAGGAUCAGCUAGUACAUAGUUUGGUAGUUUUUGUUUUUGUUUUUUUUUAAGAUUUUAUUUAUUUAUUCAUGAGAAACACGGGCAGAGGGAGAAGCAGGCUCCAUGCAGGGAGCGCAACACGGGACUCAAUCUUAGGUCUCCAGGAUCAGGCCCUGGACUGAAGGCGGCGCUAAACUGCUGAGCCACAGUUUGGCUGCCCAACAGUUUGGUAGUUUAGAGCAGAACAGGAUUUGAAUCCCUACAGUUCCCAGCUGUGUGAUCUUUAGCAACUUUUUCUGAGCUUUAGUUUCCUCGUUUGCAAAAUGAGGAUAAAGGUAGUAAUGAUUUAUUGUGAAAAUUAAAUAAAAUAGAUAAAGAGCUCAGCACAGUACCUGCCCUGUAGGAAACACUUAGAUCAUCAAAAGCGAGAGAGAGAGCAGAGAGGCCAUGACUGCCACUUAACAGCUAACAUGGCCAGAGGAUAGAAGCACAGCAUGGCACAAAGUGACAACUUAAAAAUGUGGGCUUGAGAACAACAUCUCCAAAGGUAGAACAACUACCAGGGAUCCACAGUUCCUACAGAGUAUGACUGUUGGAUGUAGGUCAAGGGCUGGCCACUUGCUCCCUAUUCUAAGCAGCCUUGCUGAUAUGGAUAGAUGUACAUGUCAUUGUUCUAGCAGAAAACAGAUGGCCCACUCAAUGGGUAUGUAAGACAAUAAUUACGGAUAAGGAAGAUUGACAAAGGAUGGUGAAACAUCCCUGGGCUAGUGAGAGAGGGAUACCACCAGCAACCCUAGGCCCGAAUGGCCUUGGGAGGAAGUGGUUGCUGAAUCCCAGUGAGACCUGCAUGGCAGGAAAGGGUCUCUCAACAGGAGCUGUGACCUUUUCUAGAAGAACACAGCCACUAAUAACCUGAGGCCUGGCAGGAAGGGCACUGGGGAAUAAGCAAAUCCACCUCUCUCUCCUGCCUCCCUCUGACUUCCUGCCAGUCCCUCCUGUCAGCCAAACCCAAAUAGAAGCCAGAGGCAAGGGAGCCCAGGUGAUUUAGUCCACAGACAUCAGCCACAUAGGGCUCAGAGUAGAGAAAGGUGUAGUGUCAAUCUUCAAGGGCAUGCAAAAUUUACAGUGGAGUGAACAAAGGAGGAAAGGAGUAUACCGAAGGCAUUGUUCUUAGAGUUGGGACAAGGUUUUCUUAGGAGCCCUCCUCAGUAUAACUACAAACUCAUCAAGGCAGAAAGUAGCUAAGAAAUAACUCUGUCUCCUUGAGACACAAAGACCCCUCCCUGGUACCUUCAUUCAAUACACACAUCUCCUUAGCUGAUUUUACUCCCUCAUGUGUGCUUCAGAAUCUUUAGCACCUGGUUCCUGCCUGAGUGGCUGCUCUUUGCUCCUUCAGCUUCCUGGAAGCUUACAUUUCUUUUGAGAAUUUCUACUUCCAAGUGAUCUCUCAUGACCCUAUCCUACAAUACCUUGAGAAAAGUUUGGCUUGGAAUGCUUUAGAGUCUGGCAUAUAUAUGACACAAUUCAGGGGGAGAAAAUGAAAGUCUUCUGCACCAUCUUUAACCUGUGUCCUCAAUGCUCUAUUUUGUUUUCUGUAGUCAUUGAAGAGUAAUGGGACUCUGAUCAUUUUCAUCUUGGAAUGUAUUGCGAAGAUGUUGACUUUGGGAUCUAGUCCCCUUGCCUCCACCCCACCGGAUAUGCUCUCAUAAGUCUUGUUGACAUUAAUGAAUAGUUGUGUGUGCACAGUGCACGGAUAAGAAAGACAACUGAGGGCUCAGAGAGGCAAUCCCUCCGCUAAAAGCAAGAGCAAUAAACUUUAUCCAACAAAGGAACUGAUAGAAUAGUGAUGUAGGCUACUAUUUUUGUUUUAUUCUAUAGGGAGACAUUCAAAUUUCUCCUAAUUAAUAGAAUCUUUUGUGCAUCACAUUCAGAAGAGCUUUUCCCUUUCAUGAAGAAAUCUAACAGCACAGAAAACAUAUGCAUUUUUGGCUGCUUUUCAAGCCAUAUUUAUUAACUAAGUGCUAGGGUGGAGGAUAGUUUUCUUGCCAACAGGAUUCAUAGGACAUAGUGCUUGAAAGUACAUCAAGGAAUGAACCAUUUCUGUGACAAGCAAAUCACUGCCUGUAACUCCAACUUAGCUGGUGCUGUCAGCAUUGACCACAUAAACCACAGACUAACUGAAGAACUUCAGGCACCUAGGAUUAAACACAGUCUCCCAGUAUUAUGAGGUGCGGGAGCCAAUCCCCAGAACCACUUGAUUUUAGAGAAAAUAGCAGCUGGUCAGACAGAGACCAUUUCCGACUUCUCCCCACCAUUUUGGACACGGGGAUCUUCCUGGUGCUGAACUCUCUCAUAUCCUGUUGCUGGGAAGGAGUAUCUUAUUCACCAGAGGGCCUACACUACUCCACACACCCUUUACAAAACAACUUUUCUGGGAGAAAUCCAAUGACCUCUGAGACUAAAGCAAGGGAAGCUGCCAGGUAAUUAAGACACAGACAAGUUUUCUUUAGUGCCUCCUCAUCGCCCCUGCCCACCCUCCCUCUGGUCUCUUCCAACAUCCAAAGUCAGAAAUUCUCCUUCCCUCAGAGGCAGCCUGAGACGAUGAGGUUGGAAUAAAAGGUGGUUACAGGGUUCACAUAAGGUGACAAAGCUGGCACAUGCUAAACACUUAGCAUUAUACAGCCGCCCCUUAAGAGUGCUCCAAAUCCAUCAAUCAUCAUGGAAAAAUUAGAAGCUUUACUGGAUUCCUGCCUCUCCAAACAGAUCUUCUGAACUUGUAAAUGGACUCCAUAAUUCAGCGUUUGAGAACAGAGCUUCAGAACAGCAAAACUGUCUCUGUAACACACUGUCAGGCAACUCGGAACAAGCAGAGAAGAACAAGUCAAAACAAUCAGCUAUUUCAUUAAGGGCACAAAAUUAAUCUUGAAUGAUGCCCAAGUCUGACUCACAUUGUCAAAUAUUAUAUAUGAUCUCUACGAGCAGGCCAUUUCCCCAAUUCACUGAAACAUCUGUGCAUUUUAAUGGGCUAAGCUUUACCCUGUCCAACGCCCUUUAGCUGUUUUUGUUGUGGAUUAUGUAAUUCGGUGCAUGAUGCAAUCAGAAGAAGAAUGCUUUCUACCUGUCCUUUGUACGUGAUGUUGUCUGAUGGUUAGUGCAACUGGCUAGAUGGCUCAGAACCUUGCAUUUCAACACCCUAAAUUGCUCUGUGACCUUGGGCCUUUUGCUUCCCCUCUCUUGGCUUCCACUGUAAAAAUGGGGAGGAGCAAAUAUUUUACCUCUUUCACCAUUGGAUUUGAAAAUACAUUAGAACUGUCAUGAAAAUACAUACGGGUGCAAGGGACUGAUGCCUAGAAGAGAUAGGCUAAGAAUCCUGGAAAGUGGGCAGUGGCAUAAUUUAAAACAAAACAAACAAACAAAAAAUGCUUUGCCUGUUUUAUUUGUCUUUGGGUUUAACUAUGUGAGAAGCUAUGUGUUUGAAGAGGGGCUCUGAGUAUAACUUCGAUUUUCGUUCAGUGAGAUGAAGAAGAGAAACAGGAGCUAAAGAAAUCCAGAAAGGAAAAAGUGUGCUUUGUUAGAUGCAAAAUGAGGCUCACACUUUACCCUAAAGGAUCAAUAAUUAAAUAUUUUAAAAAAUGCAUAAAAACACUA